RNAcentral lists this ribosomal RNA (989 nucleotides) under Enterobacter cancerogenus. Its description in RNAcentral is "bacterial SSU rRNA". It matches the Rfam family "Bacterial small subunit ribosomal RNA", at positions 542 to 1533 of the family's 1533-position model. Lineage: Bacteria; Pseudomonadati; Pseudomonadota; Gammaproteobacteria; Enterobacterales; Enterobacteriaceae. The record is from RNAcentral.
UGGGGGAAAUUACUGGGGGCUAAAGCGCACGCAGGCGGUCUGUCAAGUCGGAUGUGAAAUCCCCGGGCUCAACCUGGGAACUGCAUUCGAAACUGGCAGGCUAGAGUCUUGUAGAGGGGGGUAGAAUUCCAGGUGUAGCGGUGAAAUGCGUAGAGAUCUGGAGGAAUACCGGUGGCGAAGGCGGCCCCCUGGACAAAGACUGACGCUCAGGUGCGAAAGCGUGGGGAGCAAACAGGAUUAGAUACCCUGGUAGUCCACGCCGUAAACGAUGUCGACUUGGAGGUUGUGCCCUUGAGGCGUGGCUUCCGGAGCUAACGCGUUAAGUCGACCGCCUGGGGAGUACGGCCGCAAGGUUAAAACUCAAAUGAAAAGACGGGGGCCCGCACAAGCGGUGGAGCAUGUGGUUUAAUUCGAUGCAACGCGAAGAACCUUACCUACUCUUGACAUCCAGAGAACUUACCAGAGAUGCUUUGGUGCCUUCGGGAACUCUGAGACAGGUGCUGCAUGGCUGUCGUCAGCUCGUGUUGUGAAAUGUUGGGUUAAGUCCCGCAACGAGCGCAACCCUUAUCCUUUGUUGCCAGCGGUCCGGCCGGGAACUCAAAGGAGACUGCCAGUGAUAAACUGGAGGAAGGUGGGGAUGACGUCAAGUCAUCAUGGCCCUUACGAGUAGGGCUACACACGUGCUACAAUGGCGCAUACAAAGAGAAGCGAACUCGCGAGAGCAAGCGGACCUCAUAAAGUGCGUCGUAGUCCGGAUUGGAGUCUGCAACUCGACUCCAUGAAGUCGGAAUCGCUAGUAAUCGUAGAUCAGAAUGCUACGGUGAAUACGUUCCCGGGCCUUGUACACACCGCCCGUCACACCAUGGGGAGUGGGUUGCAAAAGAAGUAGGUAGCUUAACCUUCGGGAGGGCGCUUACCACUUUGUGAUUCAUGACUGGGGUGAUCGAGGGGGGGAGGGCCCCCAAAAAAAAAAAAAAGGGGGAAGGACU